This 468-nucleotide ribosomal RNA is filed under the name uncultured bacterium. Its description in RNAcentral is "partial 16S ribosomal RNA". It matches the Rfam family "Bacterial small subunit ribosomal RNA", at positions 28 to 507 of the family's 1533-position model. The record is from RNAcentral.
GACGAACGCUGGCGGCGUGCUUAACACAUGCAAGUCGAACGGAAAGGCCCUGCUUUUGUGGGGUGCUCGAGUGGCGAACGGGUGCGUAACACGUGAGUAACCUGCCCUUGACUUUGGGAUAACUUCAGGAAACUGGGGCUAAUACCGGAUAGGAGCUCCUGCUGCGUGGUGGGGGUUGGAAAGUUUCGGCGGUUGGGGAUGGACUCGCGGCUUAUCAGCUUGUUGGUGGGGUAGUGGCUUACCAAGGCUUUGACGGGUAGCCGGCCUGAGAGGGUGACCGGCCACAUUGGGACUGAGAUACGGCCCAGACUCCUACGGGAGGCAGCAGUGGGGAAUAUUGCACAAUGGGCGGAAGCCUGAUGCAGCAACGCCGCGUGCGGGAUGACGGCCUUCGGGUUGUAAACCGCUUUCGCCUGUGACGAAGCGUGAGUGACGGUAAUGGGUAAAGAAGCACCGGCUAACUACGUG